GUCAGUGGGGCGGCCGGCCUCCCAGGGGCCUGAGGGAACAGGGCCGAUAACAUAUGCGAAAGCGCUCGGGAAAACUGAAGCCGACACGUGAGGGUGCGUUACAUACGACGGCAGGGCCUCCCGCGAAGAGGCGACAAGGACCCCGGGGGGGAGGCCCAACGGGCCGAAAAGCGGCCCCUGGCGGCGACAACUGCCACAGCCGCCUGACAGAACGCUGCCAUGGCAACAAGGUCGACCCGGCGCCUGCGCGAGGCGUUCCGGAAGUGACGUUGCUGAAGAGGCGCCUGGGGCCGAGCUGUGGCCUAUCGAGUGUUGCGGAGGGGUGAAAGGCCGCCUGAGGAAUUCCUGUCGCUCUGCGAACGGUAAUGAGGGAAUAUCAGAGCUGAAAUGAAGCAGUGAGCUGGCGAGAAGUGGACACUGAGCGGGGAGCUACAGCCUGGCUGGCUUUGCCCAGUUUUCAGUUGCAUGGCUCUGGACUAAACCUCAUUCUCUGUCUUUUUGGCCCCGGACGGAGUCACGCCAAGCAGGGCCUGGAGUUCCCAGCAACACAGAUGCUGUCUUUUUAGGGGCAAGGCUGGAAGUCGACACCACCUAAAACCUUUCAUCACAACUUCUGGCCUCCUCUUUCCCUCCUUCCAUCAUCCCCAGUCCCCACCCUUUCCUCCCCCAUGACCAUCUCUGUCUGCUCCUCAGUCAGCCCCACCAAGUGAGCCGCAUGUGCCAUCGUGCAGCUCUGAGGCCACCUGUUAGACACGGAGAAUUCAUCAACUUUAAAAGUUUCGCCGCUUCCUUCCUUUGCUUGCAGUACAGAUCCUGAAAUGGGAACGUUUUUGGUGGAGACUUGAAGAAACCACUCACAAACAGAUUUGUUGAUUUCUGCAUAAUUUUCAUCCCUUCCUUUCUUGGUGCUGCUCAGAGAUAAAUUUCUCACUCUCUUGUCCCUGGCUGUGAAGGAUUAAGACUUUUUAAGAAAGGAAACAAAAAAAGGAAAUAAGUUCUUAUAAAAAUAAGGAAUUUUUUUAUCUUAUCUUCUUGCAAAACGUUACUAUCUCAAACAAAAAGGAAACGAUGAAAGCUAUCGACAUCACUGUGUGAUAAAGUUAGCACACCUCACUGAAAUAUUAAGUGAGAAAAAACAUGUGAGAAGAACGUCUUUGUUUUUGUACACACCGAAUGUGCCAAGUGAGGAAACACUUCUCUGUUUUUUUGGACAAAAGAAGAAAUUUUGAAGGAAAGAAUUUCAAGGAACUGAAAGAGUGGAUUCUGAAAAUUGUAAUAAUGUGUAUCAAAAUUACAAAUAGCUAAAGUGAAAACUAAAAUAAAGAUAAAGAGAAGAGUAAAAACUCUCAAGAUAAGGGGACAAGUUGUGCUUUGCUAGAUUUUAAUGAAAAUAAAGGAAUGCAUUAGAUGUCUUUCUUCACUGGAAAAAAUUUACAGCCAAAAAAAAAUGAAGAAAAAAGGCAAAAAGGUAAAGAACGGACACACUCAGAGAGCAGUAGCAAUGCACAGCAUGCACUCACACACAGUGACAAGGCAAAUGAAGAGGAAGAUGCAGCCUCUUGUACUUUUUUGGAAAGACUUCUGGCUUUCGCAUCUGCGCUUCCUUAUAUAAGGGUUGCGAUACCAAUGAUUUUCUGAUUCCACCCGCAUCUCGGAGGUUCCAGCUUUCAGAGAAUAUUUAUUAGGCUGAAAUAAUUGUUUCAGUGGAAAAUAUUUGAGUUUUCUUUUUCCAACAGGUUUCUGCCUUACGCAGGUUCCAACUUCUACAGGUUUUACUGUAUUUUUAUGGUUUUUAAAAAUUGUAUGUUAUAUUUAGGUCCCUAGGUGGCGCAAACAGUUUGCACUCACCUGCUAACCUAAAGGUUGGCAGCUGGGACCCAUCCAGCAGCACUGCAGAAGAAAGGCCUGGUGACCUGCUUUUGUUAAGCUUACAGUCAAGAAAACCCUGUGGAGCAGUUCCAUUCCGUAACACAUGGACUCACCAUGAGUCAGAAUCCACUUGACAGCAACUAACAAUAACAACAUUAUAUUUAAAUGCAUGCAUUUACUGCAUUGGUAUAGACUAGGAAAUAAAGGGGUCUCAGGAUGCUUUCUGAACACGUGGAUUUCAGUUUUUUCUUUCUUUGUGUGUAUUUGGUAGGCUGCAUGUGUUUGGCCUUGAUUCCUCAGGUUGUUUACAAUCCUAAGUUCUGGCUGCUCUGUUGCUGGAACUGCUGACCGACAGCCCCUGGACUGUAAGGUGGUCAGUCUCCAUACCCUGGUCUCCUCUGGAAUGCCUAUUGGCUGUGUUUGCACCUGUCAAAACAGGACAUCUGCACUGACCACAGGCAGUUACCAAUUUCUCAGAAAGUUGGAAGUCACAGCUCUUGAUAUUAUGAGCUUCCUGCUUCCGGUGCAGAAUGUCUGUGCUUCCUGGACCACCCAGGCUACUCCAUAUACAGGCCCAGGGCCAGGACAACACAGUUAGACCGGACCUGAAGGCUGAGAGGAAGACUCGUUAGAGGAGAUCACCAGGUAAUCCAAACUGGAGCUUCAUUAGUUGGAACGACAGGUUGAAUUGGGAGCAGUGACACAUUGAAGACAGGACGGUGACCCCCAUCUCUCUUUCCAAGGCCAGACACUAGAAAUUCCUUUACUGUCCUCCUCCUUCCUAUAAGGAUUUACAAGGGUGCGGAGAAGGGGGGAGGUUCUCUGGGGGCACUAAAGAACCAUCUAUAGUGACUUUCCUGACAAAUCAAAGAAGGGCCUCCCUUUGCCCAGCCCCUGUCUCCUUCAUUGUAAAACCUGGUGCAGAUAACUUCCUGGGCCUGUGGACAUUGAGUCGCUUGUAAUUUCCCUGACCUUACCAUUCCAGCCUCCGUCAUUUGUAAAGUGGAUUCUUGGGCCCCAAACACACCUGGUGUCGGCCACCUUUGCUCCUCACCUAUGUACCUACCAGGGCAUGGUCUCUACCUGGAAGAAUUCUAACUCCUCAAGGCUGUGCUGGGGCUUGGGCCAUGUAAGCACUGGCCUCACACAUUGUACAGUUGAUGCCAUCUUCACAGUAUGGUUCAUCCAGGUGUGAACCAGGCAGGGAAAGUGCUACCUAACUUGGUAGGUCAGAGAGCUGACACAGGCCAUGUCACUGGCCCAGUUUCUACAUUUGGUAGGACCAAUGUUCAGUCCCCACUGGGCUAUGGCAUCCUGGUGGAGGCUUACUGUGCUGGCCCAGACACCGCACAGUAGCCCAGGAAGCCCCUCAAAGAUGUCCUAUUAGCCUGGAGCAGCCCAGGGCUCUAAUGUGCGCCUGCAAACCUCAGGCUGCCAAGCUUCCUCUCCAGGGCUGAGUGGCAUUCACCCCGGCCCUGAUACCUUACUGGGCACCCACAGGAAGGGCCACCUCAGGUGUUUAAGAGCACCUGCCCAGCCCUGGUC
Long non-coding RNA from Loxodonta africana (African savanna elephant), 3414 nucleotides. RefSeq lists it as uncharacterized. The transcript is spliced from 5 exons. NCBI's taxonomy places the organism in Eukaryota, Metazoa, Chordata, Mammalia, Proboscidea, Elephantidae. The record is from RefSeq and is a predicted model, not a curated record.